CGCCGUCGCCAGGGCUCCGGCCGGCGCGGCGCGCGGGGCUUGCCGGUUGCCGUGGCAGCGGCCGCGGCGCAGGGCGGCCCGGCCGGCUGUGGGGCCCCGCCGGGGGAGGUGGGGAGCGGGCCGCGGCCCUGGGCCCUCCGCCCGGCCCCGCCGUGCUGCUGCUGGGGGAGCCCGACCGCCCGCGAGGGGCGGCGGCGGGGCGCCGAGGCCUGAGCUGGCGUCCCGCUGUGCCGCAGGCUGCUCCCGGGGACGGCGGGCUGCUGAGUGGAGCCUGGCUUGGGUGGGCACAGUUGCCUUCUAUGGAGAUCCCGCCUGGUUUUACUGCUGCAGUGGCCGAGGGCGGUUCCCGGUCGGUCUGGAGUGACACCAGAUGUUGUUAACGGGGCUCCGAUUCACGGUGCUUUUGACCGCGAAACCGGACACGUCCUGAGUUUUGCCCUUGCCCCCUUCGGACACUGGAAGCUGCUCUAUGGUCUCCCCGGAGCCUUCUCUUAUCCAGCCUGAACAAGCCCAGCUCCCUCAGCCUGUCUUCACCAGGGAGCUGCUCCAGUUCCCUGAUCACCUUCAUGGCUUCUUCUGGACUUGCUCCAGCAGCUCCACGUCCUUCUUAUGUUGAGGACACCAGAACUGUACACAGUACUCCAAGUGAGGUCUCACGAGAGCAGAGUGGAGGGGCAGGAUCACCUCCUUCGACCUGCUGGUCACGCUUCUUUUGAUGCAGCCCGGGAUACAGUUGGCUUUCUGGGCUGCGAGUGCUUGGAAUGCAUCUAAAUGUUUGCAAAAUAAAGAGGUCUUCAGAAAAACCUCUGGCUGAAUGGUAUUUGCCCAGUUGGGAUGACCUGUUGAUUAGGUAGAGCUGGGCAAGAAUUUUCUGGCACCAUCUAUUUCUAGCAGAAAGGAAUUUCGACAGAGUCAAAUGUUAUGUUUUUAAAAAUCCGAUGUUGCAAUGUUUUCUUUAAAAUGUAACAAUGUUAACUGUCUUUUAGACUAUGUUUAUACUCUCAAAAUAAUCAAAUCUACCAGUGAGACAGAAAAAUCUAGCUCCUAACCGAACCUACAGUCCAGGAUUUCUGGACCGACAUAUUUUUCUACAGAACACUGAAAAUAGCCUAUUUACUGCAGAACACACUCUUUUCUUUAGCAUUUUCUUUUAUGUUCCUUAGCAUAAUGUUUACUGUUGCUUAACUUUUCGUUGUUAUUUGAAUAAAAAAAGUCUUCAUGAAACAAACAUAGAAACAAACUGUUAAUGUGUUUUAUUACACUGUUUUAAAUUCCCCUCUGUCUUAAAAAAGUCAGACAAGUGAAAUGAUAAGAAGUAUAGGCACCUUGCCUCUGAAUUCCCAUUUUUAACAGAAGAUCAGUUAGCUCGAUUAAUGCAAGUAAUGUAAUAUUGCAAGUAGGUUUUGCUUCAAUUCCGUCUGGUUUUGCAGGCCUUGCAUUUCAGAUGAUUUAAAAACAGGCUAUUACAGCACUGAUCAUGUUAAGCAAACAGGUAUCAAAGAAAUACUAGAAUUAAAGGAGCUAGCAUUUGCUAUGCAAGAUUGAAACUCCCACUGACAGCCUAAGAUAUUUAAGGCAUGGAUAUGAAGCUGUGAGCUCUGACACGCGUAGAGACCCAUGCCCAAGUGACUGUUGUAGACCAAAGAGGAUACCAUAGAGCAUAGAAAUACAUUAGAUGCUUGUGCUAAGAAUGAAUGAUCUCCUGGACAUCUGAAGGGACAGAAGAACAGGUGCACUAGUGAAUGAGUUCAAACCAGCAUUAAUCAUGUGGAUGUUUCAAAGAAUAGGAUAGAGAAAUGUGAAGCAAAGAAGAAAAGUCUACAGAAAAGAUAUGUGGAACUGUGAGGCUGAGGAAUUUUAAUAAGAUGUGAGAGCAGAUCAGAAUGCUGAAAACACUGAGCAAGUGGCAGAAGAUGAUAUGCAUUUCAAGAAUGUUGCAGAG
Molecule: long non-coding RNA, 1942 nt
Organism: Strigops habroptila (Kakapo)
Lineage: Eukaryota; Metazoa; Chordata; Aves; Psittaciformes; Psittacidae
Exons: 4
Source: RefSeq, a predicted model, not a curated record